This is an RNA transcript of Acinonyx jubatus (cheetah), 7830 nucleotides long. It is a transcript of the gene named SH3 and cysteine rich domain, with no coding region annotated. The record is from RefSeq and is a predicted model, not a curated record. Lineage: Eukaryota; Metazoa; Chordata; Mammalia; Carnivora; Felidae. The transcript is spliced from 12 exons.
AGUCCGAGGGAGGGCGCGGGGGCGGCGGGGCGGGGCGGGCAUGGGAGCCCCUGGGACCGGCCGCUGAGCGAGCGCGCCGGCGUGCGGCGGGAAGGCCAGCCUCGCGGUUCCUCCGGGAGCCCAACUCCGUUCCCGCGCCGCCACGAUGAUCCCCCCGAGCGGCGCCCGCGAGGACGGCGUGGACGGGCUGCCCAAGGAGGCGCCGAGCGCCGAGCAGCCGCCCUCUCCGGCAUCCACCGGCAGCCAGGAAUCCAAGCUCCAGAAACUAAAACGAUCACUUUCUUUCAAGACCAAGAGUUUACGGAGCAAAAGCGCCGACAACUUCUUCCAGCGGACCAACAGCGACGUGAAGCUGCAGGCGGACAUGCUGGCCGAGGUCAGCCCCAGCUCCAGCCCGCUCCCUGCGCCCGCAAGCCUGACGUCCACACCCACCAGGGCCGCCCUGCACCCCGGGGCUGGCGGCAAGGCCCACGCCUUUCAGGAGCACAUCUUCAAGAAGCCCACCUUCUGCGAUGUGUGCAACCACAUGAUCGUGGGAGCAAACGCUAAGCAUGGGCUGCGCUGCAAGGCCUGUAAGAUGAGCCUCCACCACAAGUGCAUGGAUGGCCUAGCACCCCAGCGGUGCAUGGGCAAGCUGCCAAAAGGGUUUCGGCGUUACUACAGCUCCCCUUUGCUCAUUCACGAACAGUUUGGAUGCAUUAAAGAAGUUAUGCCCAUCGCCUGUGGCAAUAAGGUGGACCCUGUCUACGAGACCCUCCGCUUCGGCACCUCCCUGGCCCAGAGAACAAAGAAGGGCAGCUCGGGCAGUGGCUCUGACUCGCCUCACAGAACCUCUACUUCAGAUCUCGUGGAGGUUCCUGAAGAAGCUGACGGGCCAGGAGGCGGGUAUGACUCACGAAAACGCAGCAACAGCGUGUUUACUUAUCCCGAAAAUGGCACUGACGACUUCAGAGACCAAGCAAAGAACUUACACCACCAGGGAUCUCUUUCCAAAGAACCAUUACAGAUGAACACCUAUGUUGCCUUGUACAAAUUUGUACCACAGGAGAAUGAAGAUUUGGAAAUGAGGCCAGGAGACAUGAUUACUCUUCUAGAAGACACCAAUGAAGAUUGGUGGAAAGGAAAAAUUCAAGACAGGAUUGGCUUCUUUCCGGCCAACUUUGUUCAGAGAGUACAACAAAAUGAGAAGAUUUUUAGAUGUGUUAGGACCUUCCUUGGGUGUAAGGAACAGGGGCAGAUGACACUGAAAGAGAAUCAGCAUUUUACUUGAGAUCCCAAACAAAAGCUCAUAGAAGAUUUUGCCUUGCUCAAGGGGGCAAAAACCUGGUAAGUAGCCAGAAUGGAACUUAAGCAUAGAUCUGCAUGUUCUAAGCCCAUACUUUCCGUGGAGUCAUGUGCCCUGGACCAUGUGGACCAACUUCUGAGCAGGACAGCACCAUUUGCAUAGUUUGGCUCCCAAGGAAAGCAAAUGUCAUAAAGGCAGGUGUCCUAGGACCAGAGAGCCCCUUGAAAACAAAUUCUUGCUCAUAUGAGUGCCCUGCUGGGUCAUUCCAGGCAAUGGAAUCAUCCUUGUCAAACUGAGACCCCAUCUCUAAUCCCACACCCCCCCCUCCACAAAGCAAACACCUACUUUCCCGCUGGGUUCCAUGCCAAUGCCUCAAAUUUCUCCAAGCUCACCAAAUUAUAUCCUCCCUGGUCCAAAAGCUUGGAAAGCCUUUUGAAUGAAAUAAAUUUGAGAAGGCUUUUCAUCUUUAUUGGCAAAGUGUUAUUAAAUAAUUUUGCUAGCACGCUUGAUUUUUUUCCUCAGAAUAUUCUUGUGCUUCCCCACUUGAAAGUAAAUGUUGUUUUUGUUUUAUUAAUAUACAAGUCCGUGAAAUCAGAAGGCAAAUGAAAACUUGCUCAAGUUGAUCAAUUCCCAGAAGCAGAACAUCAGCUCAACGACUCCUGCCAACUCCUUGGCCUUCGUCCCCCAAAUUGUGUUUUCUGGGAAUGGGCUCACACCUGCAUUCUGGACUCUUUAUGGUUGAACUGACCAUCUUCCAGGAUGGGUAGGGGUGAGACAAACAAUCCAACCUCUUCAGUUAGACAUGCUGAAGACACAACACAGCCUGAACCAGGAACAAACUGGAUCUGCUCAUAAUCCUUUUAAAAAAAAAUUUAAGUUUAUUUAUUUAUUUAUUUAUUGAGAGAGAGAGAGAGAGAGUGCGUGUGUGUGUGUGUGUGUGUGUGUGUGCAGGGGAGGGGCAGAGAGAGAGAAUGUCACGCAGGCUCUAUGAUGUCAGCGCAGUGCCCGACUUGGGGCUCAAGCUCACAAACCAUGAGAUCAUGACCUGAGCUGAAACCCAGUCAGACGCUUAACCAACUGAGCCACCCAGGUGCCCCUGCCUAUAUCCCUCUUAAAAAGUUCCAUAACUUUGCCCAGCCUGGUGUUUCUGGGAGUGUGGUCUUUGCACCACCUGAAUCCUAAUCACCUGGGAGGUGGUUGAAAAUACAGACUCCUGGACUCCAUUCCAGACCUGGUGAAGCAGAACUGCUCAGGGUAAAGGCAGGGAAUCCCUUUACAAAGGCCCCAGGAUCGAAGCUGAAGUGAGAGCACGACCUUCAUUUCCAUGACCUCACCUUGACGUCCUGCAGUGGUCCUGUGACAACCAAAGGACACCAUGGCUGUGACAAUGCCAAGUGGAAGGCAUGUGGACGUAAUGGAUUCCAGUUCCAGAUGGGUCAGCAAAAGGCACCUAGGGCUCGUUAGCCCCGCACGAUUUUCCGUUUUCGAUCUUUGUCAUCAGCAUGGCAACCAAUUUCGGAAAAAUGUCAGCCACUUGAAAGAAAAUUUACAUUUUAAAAAUCUGUUAUUGAGAAGGAUUUUUUGAAAUUCUGGCUCCACUUUUGUGGCCUCCCAUUAUUUUAGGUGUCAAAUUUCAAAUAGAAGGAAUUCGAUUCUAAAAAUAAUGCAAUGCAUCUCUGAUUACAUCACAUUUCUGCCUCUGGGGUUAAUUUGUCUCAUAAUUCUAUUACUUUUUCGCAGAGCUCUUGUUUCCAAAUAGAAUCAAGUUAUCCUUAUGUUGCGAACACAACUAGAGUUUGCAUUAACACCAAAGUGUGUUUUCUGCAUUUUUGAAAUUUAAAAAAUACCCUCAUGAAAUCAACUUUAAAUACCAUAACAGUAUUGCAUUAAAUUCAUCCAAAGUUCUGCCAUCCCCGUAAAACUACUUUUAUUGAUUCUUUGUGUUUUCGUCAAAGCUUUCAAGACAAAUAGGUAAAUUAUUUUUAGAUUACAAAACUGAAAUGCAUUUAUUGUGGAGAAAAUUUGAAAACUACCCCCAAGAAAGUAUAAAUGCUUUGUUUGGUACCUUCCAUGGCACAUGUGAAUCCUAACUGAAUUGAUCGUUGCCGGCGAUGGUUUUAGUGGUUGGCCAGUCCCCCAGUUCCUGUCAAUGGGAGAAGUCAGAAGGUCAGCUAAGGGCAUCCGCUGGGCUCAGUAGUGCUUGUGUUCCUACACGUUCUUGGCCCCUCCAGCCUCUCUGACUUUUUCCCACAGAUUCCCCACCUCCAAAGUGCCACACUCCCUUGAUACUGAAAUAUGUUCAUCUCCUACUUUUCCCCCCUCGUUUUCACCUUGCCAUCUUUGCUUAAAGGCCUCUUCUUUAGGGAGGUCUUUCUUACCCCCUCGGCCAGAUCAGAUUGCCAUAGAUACUCACAUCAGCACCCCUUUCCCCAUGAGUGAGGAAUUAAUUCAUUCAGCAAUGUGCUCAUCACAUGUGUAAUUACUCAGUGAAAUACCUGUCCCCUAGUUCUGCCCAAUAAGCUCCAGGAGAGCAGGGAUCUGCCCUUUUUUCAUCAGUUUCCAAGUUUCUGGAGUGGUAUCUAUUACAUAGUAGGCACUCAAUAAAAACUUGAAUGAACGAAUGAAUGGAUGAAUGAAUGAAUACAGGAAGUGGGGUAUCUUUCACGUGGCCUGACCAAGAAAACAUUUGCUGGGAUAAUCAACAGCCCCACUUGGUCUCUGGGACUGAUGAAUUUCCUGCGAUGUAGGACUUUCAGUGAAAAGAUUGAGAAAGUCCCUGGCAAACCAAGACAAGUUGGGUACCCUCUUCAUGGCCCUCCGAACCAAAGGAGUUGCUGUGGUUUCCCUCACCUCCUGCCCUUCUCUACCCAUAAUCUUCUGGGCUCAUCUUUCCAUUCUACCUCGAAAUGCAAUGCUUCCAGCCCGGUUACUGCUUCCUAAAAUGGUAGGUAGGUUCUCAAGCGUGGCGAGUUACGUUAUUUGUACCACCAGAAUUUUAAAUUCUAGACCCUUCAUUUCUGGGAAGAGUACAAACCACUGAAGCCUAUUUUCAACCAUUUCGGUUCAUCUUUUUUCAACUUCCUUUAGCUUCCUCCUCUGUUUACCCAUUGUCUGCUCCCAAGACUGUCCAAGGAGGGCAUGGUGGGUACCGAACUCCUCGUCCUUUGGAAGGUCUCCCCAGAUCAAAUCACUGUAGGGGUGCCAAUUAGGAGGUGCAAAGUAAGUCCAUACAUGCAACAAAGCAUGAGCAUUGGUGCUUCUAGGCCUCCCUACUCUUUGAGACCCCCUCAGACCACUCUUCCAUUGCCUCUACCAAACCAUGUUUCACUUCCAUGCUGAAAUCUCAGGAGAGAGAAGGAAAAUUAAAGGUAGUGUGUACAGACACACGGUGGGAUUUUGCUGGAGAGACUGAAAUUGACUGCUAACGUAAAUAGCGGAAAACUCAGAAACAGACCCAGAAAGCUAACAGAGACCCAAACUGCAGUCAUUUUUGGUAUGUUCUCAGGCAUGGGGUAAUGGUGUAAGGCUCUUAGCUCUGGCCAGAAUUUCAGUUUUCUGAUUCCUUUUCCAGGGUUCUCCCUAUUAGACAUCACCAUGAUAGAACAUCUGUGUGUGUGUAUGCCAGUAAAUUGUUUUCAGGUUUGAUUUCUUUAUUUAACUAUUUCAAACUAUAAACUCAAUUUUUAAAAUAAGCAUCUAGAACAAAUCUGCACGAGGAAGCAGAUGUUGAUGCAGAUUGCUUAGACUAAUAGUAAAGGUUGUCGAAUUUGGGACAUAUGUCAAGAAGGAAGAAAACUCGUCUUUGACGGGUUUUAAUGGUAAAUCCUGCCCCCGGGGCAUUUUAAUGGGUUCUUUUAAGACAUAUACUCCCUGCCCAUCCCUAGGGUCUCCUGCCUGCAAUGUUUCUGUCAUGGGCAAUGACAGGCCUUAGUUUUUGGAAAUCAGGUGGUUCACCCUCCUUUCGGGGGUCACCUUACCCCAUCAGACUCUAGUAGGAUCUAACAUGGCCCCUGGGCUAUUCCUUUCUCACAGAUCACCUCUGGCCUUCGUGAAACAGUCAACACAUCUUCUGUUAAAUUAACUCCUGUCUCAGCCUCUUUCCAGUCAAGCUUAUCACACAGCAAGUUUCUGAAACAUGAACCAGAUACCAGCCUGUUGUGUGUCCCAAGCCCCAGGAGUCACAAAUGAAGCUCUUUAAGUGGCCUGUUAAUGCCUGUCCUUCCAUGUGAAGGGGUCUGUAUUGGGGCCCUGCCCACAUCCCCUUCUCUAGGUGGGUGCCCCUAUCCCCCGGUCACUGUGUCGGCUAAUAUCUCACAGCUGCCCUUUGUCCAGCUAAUCCCCCUUCGUGGAACAAGAGCUGCCUGGCCUGAUAAGUUGCAUCUCUCACAGCCCACGUCAGCCAGUGGCCAACGACUGACACACAGGGCCCAGAAGACCAGACCCCCUGCCUCAAGGUGGGACCGCUCUGUGGUGCGCUUCAUGCUCCAGAGCUCCCUGCGGGAUCGGGCUCAGGCCCGCCUCCAGCUGAGACCUCACCUUUGCUCAGCUCCUUCCACUGACCGCCAUGCUUCCCUCGCUUCCCACCUCCCGAGAGCACGCGCUCAACAAGUCCCUUCACGAGGACUCCUGUCUCAGGCUCUGUUUCUGGGGAAUCCAACCUAAGACAUAACCUACCACCCACGGAAGCAGGUCGACUGGGUGAACUCACAGCACACCAAAGGCUCUUUUUCAAAGCCUCUUCUGUACCUCUGACCACACCCACCCUUCAUGCCGUUCGGUGGCCUGGCAGUGAUCUGCGUGACCUCUGAAGAAGAGCAGGACGGCUUUAUCAGAGUCCUCAGUGGAAAGAAGAGGGGCCUCGUCCCCCUGGAUGUCCUAGAAAACAUCUGAUUGCUGGCCCCCCUGCUUUUGCAGUGGAUGGGCUCCGCCGCGAUGCCUCAUCUCACACUGUGUCCACACAGAGGAGCUGUCGCGCUGACCCUCCACCCGGGAAACAGUGAGACAAGACUCACGGAUCUGAGACUGGAGUCCCAGCCACAGGACAGAGGGCCCAUGUCACAGCAUUGCCGGGCUGCCCAAGGUGGGGGCGAGGCUGAGCUGAGCACUUUGCAGGUGGCGGUGGCGGUGGCGGUGGGCAGUAGCCACAACUGUCCCUGAGGAUUCACCUCAGUCCCCAUCCAUGUGAUGUAAGUUAGCCCGCUGGAGUGUGCUCCAGCUUGUGGUAUGGGCCCUGUGCAAGGCUCAGAUCCCUAUAGCCAAGUGUGAUUCUGGUUCCAGACCUGUGUCCCCAGUCCCGGCCCAUCCACGUCACCACGUUUGCAGUCUCUGCAUCAGGAAGUCCUGCUUCCCAGCCCCCAGCAUCCUAGGGCUCCUCUCAGCCCCUCUCACUUUGCAUUUGUACUGUCUCUUCUGUCCUCUGAGUCAGUCGUGGGGUGCCCUUGAGGUGUGAGGGCUGAGCUGGUGGCACCAACCACUGAGAGAGACCUGAUCUGCCCAAAGGUAGCCGACAGGCAGUCCCUGCUGCUGCUUUAGUUACCAACAGAGGUGACAGAGCAGGACACGAGGCCCGACAAAUACAGAGGGCGAAGCGUAGGGUAAGGUGGGGCAAAGAGCCCUACUUAUUGAAGAAUAUACAGCCCUUCGGGUUAUGAAAGCAUUUCCCUGAGGCGAUGGGCCUGAGGAAGAGAAUGGGGCAAAAAAUCUCAGCGAUCAGCCCUGUUUCAUUCCACGUCCCCUGUACUAGGGGCAGCGUUUUCCCUCAGGCCAUCCUAUAGGACCCCCUUUUGGAGGCUGAGCCCAGCUUGUAGAGAACCAGGAACCUGAAGGAGAACCAACCGCAUCUUAGGAGAAAAGGAGCCAACUCUGAAUCCGUUCCUCUUUAGGGCAGUAUAUUAUACCCUAGCCGAUGUAAAGUGGAAAAGAAUCUUUUAGUGCUUCAUCCCUCAGAAAGUAGAGGAACUUGGGGCCUCUUUGCCAUCAAGUGGGGAGUCCCUCUUACUCUGUAUUUGUACUAAUGUUUACAAGCAUUCAAUAUACUGUGAUGCCUUCCUCCGCAAGCCUCCUCCUGGCAUUCGAACUUGCAUCCGAUUACUGAGUCAUUAAUACGGUUAAACUUCAAUUCACAGUGACCUUGGAACCCAUGUCAGCUCGAUUCAUUUUGUUACAGAGCAAUAAAAGCAUUAGUACAACUGGUUUUUAAAAGACUUAAGUGGGUGCAUCUUCUGCAUGUAAGCAUUGUUCCCCAAACCCUAGUAUCAUUAGUCUCCAUUUAUUUCUUUUGUUACUACUCAGCAUGAUGUUGGGAGCUGAGAGAGGAUGGCUGCUGGUUUCACAGUAGUUUGGAUGCCUUACUGUCGUUUUAAAGCCAGCAUCCAGAAUUCCCUCCCUCUCCGGUACAACCUGCAAAACUGAGUGUGCCGAGACAAGAUGGGUUCUCUGAGAGCCAGGGUGGAUAAUAGGACUGCCAUUCCCUAAAACGGAAUGGCAGAGUCCAAACACUUUCUGCCUCUAAUUCUGUAUUCCAUUUAAUAAAGACAACACAGUGC